UGGGGAAUAUUGCACAAUGGGCGCAAGCCUGAUGCAGCCAUGCCGCGUGUAUGACGAAGGCCUUCGGGUUGUAAAGUACUUUCAGCGGGGAGGAAGGGAGUAAAGUUAAUACCUUUGCUCAUUGACGUUACCCGCAGAAGAAGCACCGGCUAACUCCGUGCCAGCAGCCGCGGUAAUACGGAGGGUGCAAGCGUUAAUCGGAAUUACUGGGCGUAAAGCGCACGCAGGCGGUUUGUUAAGUCAGAUGUGAAAUCCCCGGGCUCAACCUGGGAACUGCAUCUGAUACUGGCAAGCUUGAGUCUCGUAGAGGGGGGUAGAAUUCCAGGUGUAGCGGUGAAAUGCGUAGAGAUCUGGAGGAAUACCGGUGGCGAAGGCGGCCCCCUGGACGAAGACUGACGCUCAGGUGCGAAAGCGUGGGGAGCAAACA
This 427-nucleotide ribosomal RNA is filed under the name uncultured bacterium. RNAcentral describes it as "partial 16S ribosomal RNA". It matches the Rfam family "Bacterial small subunit ribosomal RNA", at positions 355 to 774 of the family's 1533-position model. The record is from RNAcentral.